RNAcentral lists this ribosomal RNA (203 nucleotides) under uncultured bacterium. RNAcentral's name for it is "partial 16S ribosomal RNA". It matches the Rfam family "Bacterial small subunit ribosomal RNA", at positions 1298 to 1500 of the family's 1533-position model. The record is from RNAcentral.
UUGUAGUCUGCAACCCGACUACAUGAAGCUGGAAUCGCUAGUAAUCGCGAAUCAGAAUGUCGCGGUGAAUACGUUCCCGGGUCUUGUACACACCGCCCGUCACACCAUGGGAGUCGGAAAUGCCCGAAGUCAGUGACCCAACCGCAAGGAGGGAGCUGCCGAAGGUGGAGCCGGUAACUGGGGUGAAGUCGUAACAAGGUACC